RNAcentral lists this ribosomal RNA (253 nucleotides) under uncultured bacterium. RNAcentral describes it as "partial 16S ribosomal RNA". It matches the Rfam family "Bacterial small subunit ribosomal RNA", at positions 524 to 776 of the family's 1533-position model. The record is from RNAcentral.
UACGUAGGGUGCGAGCGUUGUCCGGAAUUAUUGGGCGUAAAGAGCUCGUAGGCGGUUUGUCACGUCUGCUGUGAAAUCCCGAGGCUCAACCUCGGGCCUGCAGUGGGUACGGGCAGACUAGAGUGCGGUAGGGGAGACUGGAAUUCCUGGUGUAGCGGUGAAAUGCGCAGAUAUCAGGAGGAACACCGGUGGCGAAGGCGGGUCUCUGGGCCGUAACUGACGCUGAGGAGCGAAAGCGUGGGGAGCAAACAGG